This 497-nucleotide ribosomal RNA is filed under the name uncultured bacterium. Its description in RNAcentral is "partial 16S ribosomal RNA". It matches the Rfam family "Bacterial small subunit ribosomal RNA", at positions 28 to 507 of the family's 1533-position model. The record is from RNAcentral.
GAUGGACGCUGGCGGCGUGCCUAAUACAUGCAAGUAGAACGCUGAAGGAAGGAGCUUGCUCUUUCCGGAUGAGUUGCGAACGGGUGAGUAACGCGUAGGUAACCUGCCUGGUAGCGGGGGAUAACUAUUGGAAACGAUAGCUAAUACCGCAUAACAGUAGAUGUUGCAUGAUAUCUACUUAAAAGGUGCAAUUGCACCACUACCAGAUGGACCUGCGUUGUAUUAGCUAGUUGGUGAGGUAACGGCUCACCAAGGCGACGAUACAUAGCCGACCUGAGAGGGUGAUCGGCCACACUGGGACUGAGACACGGCCCAGACUCCUACGGGAGGCAGCAGUAGGGAAUCUUCGGCAAGGGACGGAAGUCUGACCGAGCAACGCCGCGUGAGUGAAGAAGGUUUUCGGAUCGUAAAGCUCUGUUGUAAGAGAAGAACGAGUGUGAGAGUGGAAAGUUCACACUGUGACGGUAUCUUACCAGAAAGGGACGGCUAACUACGUG